UCCUACGGGAGGCAGCAGUGAGGAAUCUUGGACAAUGGGGGAAACCCUGAUCCAGCGACGCCGCGUGAGUGAUGAAGCCUUUCGGGGUGUAAGGCUCUUUCAGCGGGGACAAUCAUGAUGGUACCCGCACAAGCAGCUGCGGCUAACUACGUGCCAGCAGCCGCGGUAAUACGUAGGCAGCAAGCGUUGUUCGGAAUUACUGGGCGUAAAGCGAGUGUAGGCGGUCUGCCAAGUCUGUUGUGAAAUCUCCCGGCUCAACUGGGAGGGUGCGUCGGAAACUGGCAGGCUCGAGUGCGAGAGGGGAGAGUGGAAUUCCUGGUGUAGCGGUGGAAUGCGUAGAUAUCAGGAGGAACACCGGUGGUGAAGACGGCUCUCUGGAUCGCCACUGACGCUGAGACUCGAAAGCGUGGGGAGCAAACAGGAUUAGAUACCCUGGUAGUCCACGCCCUAAACGAUGCAUACUUGGUGUGGGCUCUUCACUGAGUCCGUGCCGGAGCUAACGCGUUAAGUAUGCCGCCUGGGGAGUACGGUCNCAAGGCUGAAACUCAAAGGAAUUGACNGGGGA
RNAcentral lists this ribosomal RNA (565 nucleotides) under uncultured bacterium. Its description in RNAcentral is "bacterial SSU rRNA". It matches the Rfam family "Bacterial small subunit ribosomal RNA", at positions 337 to 920 of the family's 1533-position model. The record is from RNAcentral.